UAGAGUGUCUCCCCCUUUGAAGAGGGGGAUGAGAAACAAAUGAACUGGUCCUAUCAGGAGCUUAAAGGUCAACUGGCAUCGAUAUGCUGCAGAAACAUAACAUAUUGUAAUGAAACAGGCAGGGAGCAAGCCUCGAACCCUCGACCUUCAGGCCCGAAGUCCAGCGCGCUAUCGACUGUGCCCCAAAAGCAUGCUCUAGUGGCUGAGUUGACAUCCGCGCUUAUAAACCCAGGGUCGUUACACUACUCCCUCCUUUCAAAGAGCGCGUCCUCUCCACGUCUUAUAGGAACGCGCUCACUGGCAAGCACUGUCGUGGAUGCAAGGUCCAAUCACACUUCUGACAACAUUGUAAUGAAACAGGCAGGGAGCAGGCCUCAAACCCUCGACCUUCUAGCCCCAAGUCCAGCGCGCUAUCGUGUAGAGUCGAUAUCCGCGUUUAUCCGCGUUACAAUAUUAUAGUGUCAAAUCCAGCUGCCAUGUGGACAUUUGUUGUCAAAGCUGCAUAUAGUUGGAACGCACAUUUCGCUCGGCAAUUAUGAGUGAAAAUGGGCUUCCAUAAAGUUGGUGCAAACUUCCAAUACAUUUCAACAAUAUUGCCAGGAGUGGAUUACAUUCGACACGGUCACUUCUGCUGCCUGUCAACCGUCAAACCACUGCACUGGUGUUGGCUAUGUACAAAACCUGGUUGAUUUGUAGUUCAGCAACGUUGUUGGAACCCCCCUGCCACAUCAGGAGCUGUUACAGAAGGCUGAGGCAGUGGCCAUACACCAGUCCUGCUUGAGAGUAAUGGAGGACACUUGAAUCAGCUGGGUCGGAUAUAGGAGCCGAAGUCGGGCUUCUGCAUGACCAGUAUCUGUGAUGAGAGGGACCUGGAGCUGAUCUACGCUGCCAUGCCAAUCAGGCAUUGGCAAACACUUCAGAAGGGACAAACAAACAGUGAUUACUAAUAAGACAGUACAUCAUAAGUGUUUAGUAAUAUCACCCUUUCACCCUGUCACUCAUCAACUCUUCCUUGGAUUUCUACAGAUGGGAAGAAGAGUUGCUUUUCAGAUGGAGUCCUCUGACUGAAAGGUUAAUACUGAUGUCUGAAUUGGGAGAGACCUUGCAACUCAGCAU
Salvelinus fontinalis (brook trout) is the source of this 1116-nucleotide long non-coding RNA. RefSeq lists it as uncharacterized. The record is from RefSeq and is a predicted model, not a curated record. Lineage: Eukaryota; Metazoa; Chordata; Actinopteri; Salmoniformes; Salmonidae. The transcript is spliced from 3 exons.